AAAAGACAAAAAAGACAAAAAAAAAAAAAAAAGAGUUCUGGAAAUCAGCAUGUAAAAUGGGUCUGUUUGGGAAACGAUGCUUAGUGGUUUCAUCUGUGUUGAAUUUAUACUGAAGAGUGUUAAAGCUUCUUUUUUAAAUUAAAUGUAUUUAUGUAUUCAUUUAUUUAUGGUUUUGUGGCCACCCUGUGGCGUAUGGAGUUCCUGGACCAGAGGUCAUAUCUAGGCUGGGGAUCAGAUCUCUGCAGAGAUGCUGCUGAUCCCUGUGUGCAGCGGUGGGAACUCCAGGUAACGCUUCUUGCUCUUCCUCAGCAUCACGGUCCCCGCUUAGGAGUGCACUGUCAUAUGGGGGACCUUCAAAUUUGAUUAUAGUAAUUAUUUCCAGAAUACUUGUACUUUCUUUUUAUCAGCAUAUAUUUACUUGUAUGUUGUUUUAUUUGCAAAGUGGGUGAGCCCAUAUUCAAAUCAGUUCUUGAGACUUAACUACUCUAGAGAAAAAUUGAUUUGACACCUUAAAAAUAGUUUCCUUUCAAAUAAGACGAAAAUGUUCCAAACCAGAAAGGUGAGGUGCUUGGUUGAGUCAAAUUUCAGUUCACCGUUUCUGAUGUAGGAUUUUUUGUUUGUUUGCUUAUUGCUUUUAAAAUCAUUCUUGAAGAGGAGAGAGGAUAAUUUAUAGAAUGAAGUAGAAGGCAGGACUGGGGUCAAAAGAUUGAGGAGAGCUAGUCGCUUUAGUGAGAGAAUUAUUCAUGGACCCUGUAGCAGCCAAGGACUUUGGGGAUUUGGAUGUGUAUCCUGAGAACCCUGGGGAGCCGUUGAAGCAGUGGGACGAUGUGACUGGCUUUGUGGUCUUGAAAGUGUCAUUCUGGCUGGGGUGUGGGAGAGAGUGUGUGGCUCUGGAGAAGCCGGUCCUGACGGCCUCGCUCACUUGAGCUGCUGGAGGGUGGGUGCAGGGGAGUGGGUGGUGACCCUGGGAAGCCAGCCUUGAGGGUGCGCUUGGUAUUUCGAUGUGGCCACUGAUUGGAUAAGGCCGUUCGCCAGACAGGAAAUGUUCCUCUUUUAAAAGUUGCGAAGUUUGCAGUCAGGAGAAAAUAAUUGGGUUUAAAUAUAUCGUCAGAUGUGUGAAGGGAAAGGCUCUCAGACAUGCAGCUUCCUUCGGUUUGGGAUUAUGCUUAUGAACUUGUUCUUGCACUUCAUUUUAUUUUUAUAAAAAUUAACUUGUCUUUUUUUGCCCAAUUAUUAAUUUUCUCCUUUCAUUGAAGAGGAGGCAGUCAUUCUCUUCCCUUUUUUAACAUAAAUCUUGGGGGAAGACAGUUGUAGCUUGUUUUUUAUUUUUAUUUUUAUUAAAAAAAAAAAAAGCCUUAUCAGGAGACGGAGAAAUCUCUGAUGAAGGGAUACAGGUUUUUUUUUUCUUCUUUUUCUUUUUACAGCCACACCUGCAGCAUUCGAAAGUUCCCAGCCUAGGGCUUGAAUUGGCGCCGGGGCCGCCCAGCGUGCACCACAGCCGCAGCAGCCACUCGGGAUCCGAGCCACAUCUGCGGCCCACACCGCAGCUUGCGGCAGCGCUGGGUCCCCAACCCACUGAGCCAGGCCAGGGCUGGAACUCACAUCCUCACGGAUACUAGUCAGGUUCUUAACCUGCUGAGCCACAAUGGGAACUCCUGGGAUGGAGUUUUAAAGAGUGGAUGUGAAGGUGUGGUCCAGUCUUCUCUGUUGUGUAAUUUCUAAGCCCCGACAGCCUUUUGCGGCAGAGCGGACCCAGGCAGCCGGUAUUGGUGGCCACCUGCUGGCUCUCCCUCAUGGCGGGGGGGGGGGGGGGGGGUGACUUUAGAAACAAGGCUCCCCUCACCUGUUGCCCGGACCCCUCCUCAGUGAUAACGUGUCUGUAGCAACAGUGUUUCAGCUGUAUUAUGUUAGAGGCACAGAAACCGCUUUGUGGCUCUUGUGAGGCUUGGCCAUGAAUAUGGGUUCUGAAUGGCUCUAACAUUUUCAGCCUGUUUUCUUGAAGAAAAGUUGUUUUGGGAUCCUGGUGCACUCCUGGUUCGUUCAGGUGGCAGAGCACAUAGAGGGCACGGUCUCCUAGAGUGCUCUGGAGUCGUCGAAGGACCCAGGGCCACGUUAUUUCUGCAGAAUUUGCUAGUGGUACGUUUUCUGUCACUUUGGAUUCUUUGGUGUUAAAGUAAAAAUUGACUAACAGAAGCCAAAAAAAA
Non-coding RNA from Sus scrofa (pig), 2204 nucleotides. The record is from RefSeq and is a predicted model, not a curated record. Lineage: Eukaryota; Metazoa; Chordata; Mammalia; Artiodactyla; Suidae.